CAGCCGCCGCGGGAAUACGUAGGGUGCGAGCGUUAAUCGGAAUUACUGGGCGUAAAGCGUGCGCAGGCGGUUAUAUAAGACAGAUGUGAAAUCCCCGGGCUCAACCUGGGACCUGCAUUUGUGACUGUAUAGCUAGAGUACGGUAGAGGGGGAUGGAAUUCCGCGUGCAGCAGUGAAAUGCGUAGAUAUGCGGAGGAACACCGAUGGCGAAGGCAAUCCCCUGGACCUGUACUGACGCUCAUGCACGAAAGCGUGGGGAGCAAACAGGAUUAGAUACCCGCGUAGUCCCUGUCUCUUAUAC
RNAcentral lists this ribosomal RNA (301 nucleotides) under uncultured bacterium. RNAcentral describes it as "partial 16S ribosomal RNA". It matches the Rfam family "Bacterial small subunit ribosomal RNA", at positions 509 to 807 of the family's 1533-position model. The record is from RNAcentral.